CGCAUAAAAUGCGGAUAUGGUGCUGACUUUGUGUAAGUCCGACGUAUCCUGUAUUCACGGAUACUGCCAGAUAUGGCUUUGGGAUUAC
RNAcentral lists this non-coding RNA (88 nucleotides) under unclassified sequences. Its description in RNAcentral is "S15-Methanomicrobia ribosomal protein leader". It matches the Rfam family "S15-Methanomicrobia ribosomal protein leader". The record is from RNAcentral.